UACGUAGGGGGCAAGCGUUAUCCGGAAUUACUGGGCGUAAAGCGCACGCAGGCGGUUCGCCAAGUUUGGAGUGACAGUUGUCGGCUCAACCGACAAAGGACUUCAAAAACUGGUGAACUUGAGGACGAGAGAGGAACAUGGAACUCCAGGUGUAGUAGUGAAAUGCGUAGAUAUCUGGAAGAACACCAAUGGCGAAGGCAAUGUUCUGGCUCGUUUCUGACGCUGAGGAGCGAAAGCGUGGGGAGCGAACAGG
RNAcentral lists this ribosomal RNA (253 nucleotides) under uncultured bacterium. Its description in RNAcentral is "partial 16S ribosomal RNA". It matches the Rfam family "Bacterial small subunit ribosomal RNA", at positions 524 to 776 of the family's 1533-position model. The record is from RNAcentral.